RNAcentral lists this long non-coding RNA (138 nucleotides) under Dromaius novaehollandiae (emu). RNAcentral's name for it is "lncRNA (ENSDNVG00000015755.1)". Lineage: Eukaryota; Metazoa; Chordata; Aves; Casuariiformes; Dromaiidae. The record is from RNAcentral.
UUAAUUACGUUGCCCUUUUUGAUCCAUCAAUGCAGGCCAAGUUUGCUGAAAAGGAACAGCAGCAUGUGACCUUCUGAAAUCGCUAAUUGUAGUACUGCAGGUCGUUGUUUGUUUGGCUGCGUGACAACGUUGCUAUCA